This 112-nucleotide small nucleolar RNA is filed under the name Pogona vitticeps (central bearded dragon). Its description in RNAcentral is "Small nucleolar RNA SNORD67 (ENSPVIG00000014062.1)". It matches the Rfam family "Small nucleolar RNA SNORD67". Rfam says of the family: snoRNA HBII-166 belongs to the C/D family of snoRNAs. Lineage: Eukaryota; Metazoa; Chordata; Lepidosauria; Squamata; Agamidae. The record is from Rfam by way of RNAcentral.
AGCGAGACUGAUGAGUUGCACGUUUGGUGGCACUAAGUGUCAGGUGAUACAAGUGCCUUCCAGAACCUCCCUGUUGACAAAGCCCGAGUGCACAGGGGCCAUCUGAUUCGCU